GUGAGUCAUCGAAUCUUUGAACGCAUAUUGCGCUCUUUGGUAUUCCGAAGAGCAUGCUUGUUUGAGUAUCAGUAAACACCUCAAAGCUUUUGGAUUUUUUUUUUUGAAAGNUUUGGACUUGAGCAAUCCCAACACCAAUCUUUUUCAGAUCGGCGGCGGGUUGCUUGAAAUGCAGGUGCAGCUGGACUUUCUCCUGAGCUAAAAGCAUAUUCAUUUAGUCCCGUCAAACGGAUUAUUACUUUUGCUGCAGCUAACAUAAAGGGAGUUUGACCGCAUUGGCUGACUGAUGCAGGAUUUCAC
This 300-nucleotide unclassified non-coding RNA is filed under the name uncultured Mortierella. RNAcentral describes it as "sequence contains 5.8S rRNA gene, ITS2". The stretch from base 1 to 71 matches the Rfam family "5.8S ribosomal RNA", at positions 84 to 154 of the family's 154-position model. The record is from RNAcentral. Lineage: Eukaryota; Fungi; Mortierellomycota; Mortierellomycetes; Mortierellales; Mortierellaceae.